CGAACCAACGGGGUCGUCGUUAAUUCGAUAAAUUAUUAUUAUUACGGUAUCGCCGACGCGUGUAAUUUCGCUCGGGUCCCGUGCUAUUAUUAUAUAGUAGCUGAGUAUCGGUAGAAAAUAUUUGUAAUCAUUGUCAAAAACUAUGCCCGAUGGCACAUGAACACAAGAAACCGUGAUACCGAUGAUUUUCUGAAGCGGUGAAUAUUUUACUGAAGG
Non-coding RNA from Cinara cedri, 216 nucleotides. NCBI's taxonomy places the organism in Eukaryota, Metazoa, Arthropoda, Insecta, Hemiptera, Aphididae. The record is from the annotation of a GenBank genome assembly.